RNAcentral lists this long non-coding RNA (20192 nucleotides) under Lynx pardinus (Iberian lynx). The record is from RNAcentral. Lineage: Eukaryota; Metazoa; Chordata; Mammalia; Carnivora; Felidae.
AUUUCCAACAGGUACAGCUGUUGACCAUAGAAUGCCAUUCUUGAAUUCUGUGAAUUCAGGAAAACAUGGGUGACCUGAGCCACGUGUCCAUUCUGAGAAAAGAGGCUGACAGCUUCUCCUGAUCUCUAAGCAGCAGAAAUUCCAGAGGGCAACAGCUGCUAGGGCCCUGACCCUGAACUUGUCAACUUCUUCCCUACCCUCCCACCUCCUUCCUCCUUGCAUACCAGCCAAAGGUAGCUUUCUGCUUCAGUUUUUUUUGGUAAAGAGCCUCAGAGAGGAGCAUUUGAGCACCUACUCCGGCCAGAAAGACCACUGACAUCUGGGCACCGAGGGCCUUGGAAAUGAGACCGUCAUCUAGACUUAUCCAGAGAGGUUGCUACCCUUCCCAUUCUCCCUAAAAAGAUCUGCGGUCUUUCUUAGAGGCUAACACCCUCUGCUGGUCCAGAUGAUUCGUACUCACUCAGAUGCUGAAGCAAAUGAUCUUUGUCGCCAGGGAUAUCUGAAAGGCGUAAUAUUGUACACUCUGGGGGCCAACUUCCCCCCGAAUGAUUAUAUUUCAUUUUCUCCCUGCCACCGAACACAUCUUCCUAAGGACCAGGUUAGUAAGUGGCUCUCCCAGGGACAGCUCUGCAUAAGUGGGAUGGUGUUUACGACGAUGAUGAUCGUCACUCCAGCCCCUAGGACGUUUGAGAAACAAAAAUAAGCUUUGCAAGUUGCCUAUAGCUUCUGCGGACUCAGCAGGCCCCUGCUGGGACCAAUCAAGAGCUGCCUUUGGAAGAGAUCCGGCCUCAUUCUUUCCAAAGUACCGAUUGGCUUUGAGGAAUGGGCGGGGCUGCUGCCUCCUGUCCGGCUUCCCAUAGGUGAAGGAAAGUUAAGGUGGGCCCCCAGCGAGAUUUUUGUCCCGGGACGACGAGGACAGUCCUGGGGAUUUUUUUUUCCCCCUGCUUUGGAGGCCCUGGGCUCAAGGCAAAUUAUAAGUGGGAAACCAAUUGGAAGGAAAGAAAUUUGAACCGAGUUAAGGUGCCAGAAAGAGAAGCAGCCCUAUCUGAAGUCUGCAUCUGCCGCUGACAAACUUGGGGGGGGGGGGGGGGGGGCUGUGUUAAGGGAAGGGGGUUCAGCAAGCACAGGUAGAGGAGAGGCCGGUACGGCCCCAACAGGCCAUCAGAGAGCGGCAAAAUGAUGGAGGGCCCUAGAAAGAAGUCACUCUAGAGGUAACCGCACGAAGGGGGACCCGCUAUGCCUCGGCUCACGAUCCUUUCCCGCUCCCUUUCUGCUGGGCGCAAAACCAUGCUCACCAAUCCCACCUAAACAAGGAGGCAAGGAGCCCAGCCUUUUGUGCAAACGGGAGCUGUAACUGCCCUCCUUUUCUGCCCCCAAGACAAGAGAGGACUCUUGGAAGCCGAGAAGGCUUUGAGAAGUCCUUUCCGGACUGAGCCGUCGCCGGAGGCCCCUGGCGGCCCGCCCGCGCACAGAGGUCCACGAUGGGCCUGCUGCAGGGCCUUCUCCGGGCGAGAAAGCUGCUGCUCGUUAUCUUCGUGCCGCUGCUGCUGCUGCCUCUGCCCAUGCUCCACCCCAGCAGCGUGAGUACCGCCUGUCCCCGCCUGUCCCCUCCGGUCCCUGCCGGGCCGGGCGUCGGGUGCCAGGGCGGGGACGGCGAGGGAUGGGGUGCGACGCGUCUCUCGACAGGGUUUUCUCCGGGGCUCAAGGCCUGCACGUGCCUUUCUGGGGUAGGCUCAAAUGCUUUCUUCCCCCAAACUGCCACUUCUGUCCCUCUACCCCGUUCCCAGGGCCCCAGCCGCGUGGCCCCCUGCCAGGGGGGGGGAGUCUGGAAGGGCGGCCGGACCGGCGGGUGGGUGCUACACCAUCCCUGGGGCGCCCGAACUGGCCACGGGACGCGCGCGGUGUCCAUACGGAGAAGGACACGCUGCUGGGCCAGCGUUUGUCCGGGGUCACAUGGGACCAUCUUCCUGUGAGGGAGCUGGAGAGAGGGAGACCUCCCAGGAAGGACCCUGAGGGGGUGGGGGGUGGGGGCAAUGGGCAGGCAGGGGACUGCCCUUCGGGACUGGGGUGUCUCUGUGGAGACCCUCUGCCCCACCCACCAUCUGUGGACGGGCCAUGCCAGCUUCUGAUAACCAUGCUUUGAAAUGCAAUCGCUCAAGUUCCCUCUGAACUUCACAUUCAAAGCAGAGCUUGGCAUAUUGCCCCAGUCCCCAGCGCAUGGCCCUUUGAUUAUUCGUAUCCGCUGUGUUUUCUCCGUGCCCUUGAAGGGGGGGCAUUCAAUGACGCCAUAAAAAAGAAAUAAGGAAGCCCCCAACUCUAGCCCAUGACCUGAUUUUUGACAGGGUCUGCACGAACAGAGAUACCGAAAGCUCAGGCUCUGCCUUUGGCUUGCUUUUCAGACCACUGUUGGCCUCCCUUUCCCUUUCUGUCUCCCUCCUCCUCCUCCCCCUCCUCUCGGGGUCUCUACCCCGCCUCCAGCUGCCACUACCCUUAAAACUUCAGGAAAAAUAAGCUAAGAGAGGUUAAUCAUGUUUGUGGGAGGGGGAGAGAUUUUCCAGGCAGCUCCCUGAGUAACUUGGUAACCGACAUUGAGUUAUAAAGUUAAAUAGAGGGGAUUAGAGUGGCUCGUCUUAAAAACAAACUGGCUUAAAUCUUUACUAGAAUAAAUACCCCAGAGUGCCAAGGAGACGCUGAUUAACAGCAGGCUGGGAUUAGCAGACAGUGAUUGCUGCUGACAGUUUUCCUGGGCUUACACCAGUCAAUUCUCUGAUCUGUCCAAAUGGGUUGGUUUUUCCUUCCUUCCUUCCUUCCUUCCUCCCUUCCUUCCUUCCUUCCUCCCUCCCUCCCUUCCUUCCUUUCCUUCCUUCCUUUCCUUUGUUUCUUUGUUUUUCUUCUUGGUUUGUUGUUGUUGUUGUUUUACUCAAUGUCAGAUUGCAUUUAAGGGAGUGUUAACCAAAGACAUGUCGCCCUCUUCUCCAUGGAAGUAUCAGGCACCUCUGUGGCCCCGAGUCAGCCCUGUGUUUGGAGACCACGAGUCUAGAGUGUGGUGUUGCCUCCAUUUCAUUCUGGGGCCCUGGCUUUGAGCUUCUGAGUCACCAAUGACAGUAAGAAGCAUCCACAAGAAGAAAAAAGUAACCCAUUAUUGAAGCAAGCAAAAUAAUCAAUAAAUUCGAAGGAAGACAGGUGUUAUCUUAAAGAGGAAAGAAAAGGAAGGGCAGCUGGGCCUCUGCUCUGUUUGGAUCUGUAAAGAUUCUUCGAAGAGAUUUUUAAAGCUGGACUUACUGAGACCAAGAGACGUUGCCCUUUCUUGACCUAGCCCCUUCUGUCACCUUAGAACAGGGUUUCUCGACAGCCACACUAGUGACAUUUGGGGGCCAGAUAAUUCUCUGUUGUGGGGAGGGCUGUCCUGUGACUGUAGGGAGUUCAGCAGCACCCCUGGUCUUUACCCAUUAGAGGCUAGCAGCACACACUGCCAACCCCAUGAUGGCCAAAAAUGCUUCCAGAUAUUACCAAUACCCCUGGGGCGGGGUACAGAAUCACCCCCUGCUGAGAACAAGUGCCUUUUAAGAAAGGUGACAUAACACUACCCCAGGCACCUGGGUUAGGGGAGGGUGGAUAGUUUGACUCCCUCCCUCGGGACAGCCAGAUGGAGCCUGGGGUGGUCCAUGCCUUUCAGGAGUAGCUUUCUUGCCAUCUACCCACUUUGCCCUGCAGAGACGAUUUCUCCGUGUGUCACAGUGUCAACAAGGGCUCUGCUCCUCUUCUACGAUGACAUAAAAGCACCUUGAGGUCACCGGAACAAGCCAACACAUAGAACGUCUCUGACCCAUUCUUACUCCUGUGCAUUAAACUUUUAGACUCUGAUAUUUAAUCCUCAGGAUUCCUAAAUGGACCUGUUUGCCCUGGGCGGGAGCUGAGAGGAGGGACCCGGCCAGGAGCUCCUGGCCUGCUGUUCUGAUGAUUCUUCAAAGUGCCAAGCCACAGCUACGUUUUAGGAAGGAUUAGAAGGACCUUCCCCUUUUUCCUGACCAGCUCUCUAAAACCAGGGGCCCAGACUCAGUUUACCAUGUUACAGAAGAGGAGGGGACAAGGCGGGGGUGGGGGUCGUCCAUAAAUUAGCCCCGCUUCAGUGUCCCUGGUGGGAUAAAAGUUACACCCAAGCCCCAGCUUAAUUGCAGAAAGGCGUCACAGCCAUCUAUGACAGCAAAGAAGACCUCAAGCCCCUUCCAGUCAAGUCUGAAUGGCACAUCACUGAGGUGACCGGGCAGCAUGGAAAAGGAACAGAUGCACACAUCAGGUGGUAGCAGAGUCAGGAAACUUCCAAUGUGGGUAAAGCCACUUUUGAGCUUUUGAGCUUCCUCCUUUAUUUAUAAAAGGCAGCAAAACAGAGCUGGCAACACUCUCCUUUAAAGGCACCGCCUGCAUACUCAUCCGCCCCUACAUACCUGCUGACUAGCGGCAGUGAUAAGGGACCUAGGGUUUCCAGAAUAUUCUCUCCGAUAGAUAAGAGAAACCUGAUAGCCAACAGAGGAACCCAGUUCAGUUCAACCAAUAUUAAUUGAGCCACCUGCCAGACCUUGGCCAGAUGCGGGGUCCCAGGAGUCCUAUAAUCAAACCUCACAAGAUUUGGGGGGUUAUCUAAAUAUAAGCUUACCCACUGAACUUUGAGAAGGUUCAGAAGGAGCAAAAGGAAGUUUAUGUAAAUUCCAUGGGUGAAGUGGGCAAGAAAUAUGGAAAGGCCAAUCGGAGGCCCUCUCUUGCCCAUUCUCCUGCUCUAAGGAAAGUUCAGGGAAAAAAGGAUGAUGGUAGGUUAUCCUGUUCUUUAUAAUGCUGGAUGAAGGGGCGCCUGGGUGGCUCAGUCGGUUAAGCAUCUGACUCUUGAUUUCAGCUCAGGUCUUGAUCUCAGGGUGGUGGGUUUGGGCUCUGUGCUGGGCGUGGAGCCUACUUAAAAAAAAAAUCCUGGAUGAAAGUGGUUUGCUGACUUCCUCCAAGCCAACCCAUCCUAAUUCCUAAAUUUACCUUGGCUUACCCAAAUCUUCCUAAUUCAAACUAAAAUGCUGCCUGGUAGAGUUUUUUCUCUAUCAUUCUUUCUCUUGGUCUGUCACCCCUUCCCACUGCAGCCCCUUCCCUCCCUAACUUAAUUUGUGGCUCUGUUAUGACAAGAAAAACCGAAAGUUCCCAGUGAGGGAGAGAUAUUCUGUCCCAUCGUUAGGGCCCCCUUUAUCUUCAGCUGAGUUACGGGAGACCUGCCAUUCUGUUUCUCAGAAAAGAGAUGGAAAUAAGUGGGCCCAAGUAAGGUAAAGGGCUUCUUUGGGUAGUUUUGUUUCUGCAACAAAGUUGGUAUUUCUCUAAAUUGCAUUAUUUUCCAAUGGCGCCUUCCCCCCACCCCCACCCCCCUUACUGGUUCUGUUGUCUUAUCAGUGACUUCCAAAAGUUUUAACUUCUCUCUGAUCUUUUGGCCCCAGAGGAAAUCUCAGUGGGAGCUACAGUCAACAAUUAUUGGGCCCAGUUCCCAUUUCUCAAACCCCAAGGCAGUAAUCCAUGCAUAUCAGGAGGGAACAAGGUCCCAUUCUUCCAAGCUGGGUUAAUCACUCCUGACGCCCCUCACUGAUCAUGGCGACCUUUUGUAACUUUUGUGCAAGAGUUUGAGGAGGCUUGUUCUGAACCCAAGGGAGAGAUAAACAGAACAAGAUUUGUCAGGUUUCUUGAUCACCAGCCAGCCUCAGGGUAGGUCAGACCUGAGCCCAGAUGGUUUAGAACUACGUAUAAAUUGAGGAACCCACAGCCAGCUUGCACCUUCUAUACAGUGGCCCUCCAAGUCUGUUGUUAGGGCCCUUGGAUAGUGACGUCUCCCAAGAGUAAGCCAGCGACCUUUCUCAGCACCAUUAAUCAGAAUCAUCCCGAGCAACUAGAAUUACUAAAGGCUGAGGUUAAGGAGGGCUGAUUGUUGAUAACAAUGUUGUGCCUUUUUAUUCCGUGCACACCAGUGUGGUAUAGCCAGCAAAGGAAGGAGGUUGGGGAAAACUCUCGUAAAUUUCCAGCCGUUCCCUUCCAGGUAGACAGCACUUUUUAUCCCCUAUGUCCCAUGGAUGUCUCCCUGGGCAUCAGGCAGGUGGAAUGAAGUCCCAGGGCAAUGAGAACCAGAUAAUGGUAAGGGCGAUGGUUCUCACCCCGGGACAAAUUUCCCCACUCCCACCCGGAGGGAUAUUUAGUAAUGUCUAAAGACAUUGGUUGUCACGAUGGGGAGGUGCUACUGACAUCUAGUGGGUAUAGGCCAGGGAUGCUAAACAUCUUAAUGCACAGGACAGCCCCCCACAGCAAGGAAUUAUCCAGCCCCAAAGAGGGCCAGUCUCAGAGCUCACAUCUGAAUUGGUUACACAAAUUGAUCCCUACUUUCAACUAUCCCGAGAACAUCUGCGCCCCGUCAACUCGACACCAAAAUAUCACGCUCCGUGUUAAAGCUAUGAACUCCAACUUGAGAGCGGAUGAUCUCGGGUCUGAGCACCGCAGUUAAUUGGGGUCCCCACCCUGCACAGUUUCAAGAACGAGCAGAGCUGGGACAUGGUCAGUCUGGUGGCCAUCCUGCUGCAAACCACGUGCCAGGCACCGGUCCCCCCCCAAGGAGCAGCCAUUAUUUCACAUGCCAAAGCGUGGGCCCCGCCGCGUGUCCACCAGAGGCCAGCUUUGCACACACACACACCCCCACCCAGGGCUGUGUCCUCGUGCCCAUCUUUGACUCUGGGUACCAGCUGCCUCUGCCCCCGGGUCUCGUUUGGAUUCUCAGGGGCCAUGGCUGUCCCUGUGGCUAACCGCCCACUCCCCUUCCCUUCCAGGAGGCCGCGUGUGCUUAUGUGUUGAUCGUGACUGCUGUGUACUGGGUGUCUGAGGCGGUGCCCCUCGGAGCUGCAGCCCUGGUGCCUGCCUUCCUUUACCCGUUCUUCGGAGUCCUCCGAUCCAGUGAGGUGAGACCGCUUGUGGCCCAGCCCCCUGCUCGGGUCCCCGCCGGGCCAGUGAAAGUGGGCUCAGGGUGAAAGGAGAGCCACAAAGGACUUGAGGAGGGGGCUUUUUUUCACCCUCUGGCACACUCUCUUAGCACUAAGCCUUUGCACCUGCUACUCCAGGUUCCUCGCCCAUGACCUUCGUCUCCUUCAAACUGUCUCUUUCAGGAAGCCUUACUUGAUCAGUCACAUCCAAUUGCUCCUACAGUCUGAAACCCUCUAGGAACUGUGGGAUUGGUACAUGCAAGUAACCUGGGGUUGACCUUUGUCAGUCUUUGGUAUGCCCACUUAAAGCAUAAGCACUCAAAGGCAGGAAUCAGUGUCCCAGGUCUUUGGAACCUUAUUAUAAACCUGAGCCCAUAUACAGUAGGUGCUCAAUAAAUGUUUGUUGACAGAGAAACUUACCAUGUUUUCCUGAGUCCUGACAAUGUUUUCAUCUACUUCCCUUCAAAAGAAAGAAAGAAAGAAAGAAAGAAAGAAAGAAAGAAAGAAAGAAAAUUCAAUUCCUUCUUCCCCAACUCAAGAUUACUGCGUAUUCUUUCCUUGACUGCUGUCUACCCAGAACCUGCCUUCUCUGUCCACUCUCUCUCUCUAUGGCCUUCUUAAAAGCUCAAACAGAAAUUGUCAAUAUCAAGCCCCGGUUGUGGUCAGCUUUCAGGGCAAACACUCACACCUACCACAAGUGGGAAAGAAGAAACACACAACCAGAAGCCAGAAGCAACAGGAAAGAUGGUCUUCAUUCAGUAACACCUGGUCUAUCUAGACUCUUGUCAUAGCACCUGGUCUCUGAUUCGAGUUCCCAGUAAAGAUUGAAAGGCAGAGACUAAGGACAGAGGCACAGAAGAAAGAUCAAAAGGAAUUCAUGUCUGCUGGUCUACUAGGAGCCAGGAACUAUACUGGAAGGAAUAUAUCGGUUAUGCAGUACCCCUGAGAUCUCUCUACAAGUGGGUGUUAAUAUUCCCACUCUACAGAUGAGGAAAGAGGCUCGGUGAGUUAAGACACUCACUCAAGAUCACAAAGUAGGAAGUAGCAGAACUGGAUUUAAACUCUUAUUAGGUUAAAAGUCUAUAUUCUUGCUUGCUAUGCCAGAAGGAAGACGUUCCAUAAAGUAGCUUCGUGGUGAGUUAUUACUAAGAACUCUGCAUCUCCUUUCCUGUGUGAUGUGAGGAAGAAAUAAUGAAGCUGGGCCUAUGGGAUGCCUUAACCAUGAAAAACAGAACUUUUUUGAAAGUCCAAGGCUAGAAUUAGGUGACCCUCUAACUGUGGUACUUGACUUCAUCUGAAUAGGUUGUCUUUCUACCAGAUGGACUCAACUGGCCAGUUGUUUGUUUGUUUGUUUGUUUGUUUGUGUUUGGGGUGUUUUGGGUUUUGGUUUUGGUUGUUUCUUUGUUUUAUUCUGUAUCGUUUCAGUUUUGAGGUGAGAGGGUUAGUGGCAAUGAGUAGCCGUAGUAGCUUUACGUGUUCCAAAGAGGAUAGGAUCCCCUAACCAUCAGCAGUGCUUUUAUUCCUGGAGAUGGGUAGAACAGCAACAUCCUGGGACCCAUAUAAAAGCUAGCCUGUGACCCGAAUCAUCAGGGGGUUGCUCCAAUGUGUCCCCUUCCUUUGUGGAAAAGAGAAUAGGUAGUUUGGUCUGUGUGCACGCCUAAAAGAACAACCAACCUUAAUGUUUAUGUAUUUUUGAGAGAGAGACACAGUGUGAGCAGGGGAGGGGCAGAGACACACACACACACACACACACACACACACACACACACACACACAGAUUCUGAAUCAGGCUCCAGGUUCCGAGCUGUCAGCACAGGGCCCAACCCGGGGCUCGAACUCACAAACUGCAAGAUGGUGACCUGAGCUAAAGUCGGACGCUCAACCGACUGAGCCACCCGGGUUCCCCAAGAACAACCAACCUUAAAUACGACUUUUCUGAAGAAAAGUGCCUAAGCUUAUUCUGCACGUUUCUCUUUAAAAGGGAGAAGCCAAAAGCCAAUGAGUCAGGGAAUGAAAACAGAAGGCAGAGAAAAGAGUGACGUUGUAGAAAAAAUUGAACUUUAACAUUCAGAGUGAGCUAACUAUUAAUUAAAAGAUUUCUAUCUUUGUAUUUCAGGGCGAGCAGCCUCAAAGCCAACAGCUUGCUUUAGCCUUGAAGUAGAUGGUGUCCCUAUUUCUCCAAGGGCUGCCCGAAGCAGGAAGCCUCAAAGAUGUUGCUAGGCAACCGGUCAUCCAAGGGCCCGCCCCUUGGCACAGCCAGGCAGGCCAGACCUAUGAGGCUGUUGAGUCAGUGGUUUGAAGGAUAACUCGACUUUGUGAGGAGAAAAGCAAGACUGUCUGGUGAAGGAUUAGGCAUUGUCAUUGCUGGGGCUGGAGAUGGAAAACCCUGGGAGAGCCACAGGGCAAGUCUUAGCAUUUGAGGUGAAAGAUCCUACCCCAUCUGUCUGAUAAAGUGGCAAUGGCUGGCGAUGAUAUUUAACAGUUGGGUUACAGGAAGCGGCUUAAGCCAGACAGAGUCUGUUGGGCUGGCUUUUUCAACUCAGAUCAGAGGAAAAUGCCGCUAAGCGGGGGACAUGGCUUAUGACCCUUUGUGAGUCACCUAACUUUGCAGAUAGAGACCUAUUCCAAACACCUAAUCCACAACCAGCAGCCACACCCCUCCGCCAGCAUGCGCCCUGGCUCCCUGGGAAGAGGCAGGCUGGGGAUCUUCAGGAGUUCCCUCUGCAGACAGAUCACCUACUUGUCCCUCCCCAAGCCCACUUGCACUUGCCUAGCCCCUUGCCUUGACUCAGUCCUCUCCAAUUCCCUCCACCUUUAAAAUCCUGCCCAAUCACCCUCUACAGUGAAGCCUUUCCAAAGACCUCAGCUGCAAGUGUUGCUUUUUUCCCUUGGAGCCUGUGUGAUGUCUUUAUCCUUUAAAUGGUACAUCAGAUACACCUGAUACGAACUUACCAUAGACAUGUCCUCUCUCCACGAAGAUUCGCAGCCCCUAGGAUUGGUGGUGUCUGUGGCCUGGAUGCAGUGUGGUCUAUACUUGCUCUGACCCUCAGUUAAUGGUUCUUAGUUGCAAGGUCUCUUGCUGGUGUGGCAACAGUGUCCCCUUCACCUGAAGGAAGGCAUGAGGAUAGGAUCAGUAUGACUCUGGGACCAUGGCUUUUGUCCCUCAUGUCAUUCACUCAACAUUCAGAAAAAUAAUUUCUGAGUUCUCAGUCUACCAUGUGCGACGUGGGAUGUUACGGGUACCCUGAAGGUGACAAAAAUGAAACACAUGAUUUCUGCCCUCUUGAAUGUCGCGCCUGAUGCUUCUGAGUUUCCUACUGUCCUCUUGGAUGUAGGCAUACAAAUGGUUAAUUUGCAUGAUGAUGAUUUAUUGGUCAGCAGGUGUUAAGAGUUUGUGGGGUGCAAAACUCAGACUUCCGUCUCUCAGUCUUGCUGAAAAGAGAUGGAAAAUGAUAGAAAUGGCUCCUGACCUUGAGAAGUUUCUAUUCGAACAGAGAGAAGGCACAAACCAAAUUGGAAAACACUGAAGACCCGUGCGAUAAUGCCUCGUUUGCUGGCCUUGCAGAGGCUUCACACAAUCCCCCGAGAGGGAAUGUUCUAGAUAAAUGAAAUUUACUCCACCAAGUGCCCAGCCUUCUACUGACCACUUUUUGACUGAGGCCUUUUCUAGAAGGCUUUAUCAUUUCUGUAGCCUUUUAAACAGAAGCUGUUGAAUACAAAUUAACUUUUUCUUUGGAACCUUCAAAUUUUCCAGGGGAAAAAAAAAUUUCUCAAUCAAAGGAGCCAGUGUGGGCUGGAUGAUAACAUAGUUGGGUAACUUGAGUGCUGGCUGAACAGCUGAACCUAAAGAAUCUUGAGUAACAUAAUGGCAGCGGACCGGAGAGAGAGCUCAAAUGGAAAUAUAAAAGGCACGUUAUCAGAUCUGCCAAUGACUCCAAGCUGCAUGGGCCAACUCAUGUACGAUGACAAAAUCAAUGUCGACAGGAUGAGACAAUGGCCUGGAACUGACAGAAUGAAGUUUAAUAGGGAUAAACGUUAACAGUUUGUGUGAAAAGGACCCUUGGCUUUUAGUUGAGUACAGAUUCAGUACGAAUCAUCUGUCCACUGGGGUUGCCAAAAUUUUGAGCAUUUACCAUAUGCUGGGCGCUAUGGGAGGUCCUCUACAUGCACUGCAUCACUUAAUCCUCUGUAAAGUGGCUAUUAUUUUUAUCUUCACAGAGGAGUUCAGAAAUUGAAGUUCAGAGAGGUUGAGUAACUUGCUAAGGAGCAGAGCCAGGACUCGAACCCAGGAGUGUUUAUGAUCCCAGAACUUGCUCUCUUAACCACUGGCCAACACAUACUGAAACCUGCUGAAUGAAUACACAUAUGGGUCCAGAGCAUCAGAUUCUAGAUAAGGAGCUCAUGCGGUGGUGGGUAGCCCAGAUGUCAAAAAUCUAGAAUGUGAGUCACAUGAGGAAAGAAAAGUCUCCAGAGAGAUGUGAUUUCUGGCUUCUGCAGCUCAACGCACUAGGCUCAAAGGGUCAAACCAGUCCAAAGAGUCCAAGCACCGUAAGAAAGACCCACCCUGUCUGAGGGAAGGUGCUGAAAUGGGCUGCCACGUGGUAUCUGGGCGUUCCCGUCCCUGGGAAUGCAAGCCAGGUGACCACGUCGGCGACAUUAGAGGUAGAUUGGGAGAGGGGUUGGGCUCACAGCGCCCUUUGACUCUGAGACUCUAUGAUCUUCUUGUUAGCAUCCUGCCACUACUUUAGAGCUCAGUCCUGGAUUUGAGGUUUGUUCUUUAUUUUACCUCCAUCGUGACUCUCACUUCUAUCAUUAUAUCUGCCAUGGAAAUCCUCUAAGCCCUUCUAAUGUGUUGCCACAGCCCAGGAAAGUACCGGGGUCGAUCAACCUAGCUAGGAUUUACUGUUUCUAGGAGGAUGGGAGCGAGAGGGCCCUCUGGGGCACAAAAAGGCAGGGUUUGAAUGAUCAGGCUUGGUACAGCCUCCGGAGAGCCCAGGGCCAGAAACUACUUCCAGUAGAGAUGACACCUGCUUUCUAUCUCUCCCCUUCCCAACACACACACUCACAGUCACCCUCUGCUGUCUCCAUGGCCCUGCACCGCAGGGCCACAUUUCACAUUCUGGCUCCUGCCAGGGCGGGAGAGACAGCAAGGCAGCUCCAGCUGGGAAAACAAAAGGGCCUCUGCAGCCACCUGACACUUGAGUUCAAUGUCAUGAAUCUGCUUCCCUGUUUGUUCCUGAUCUUUCUGACCUGCCAGAUUCCUGACCGUCACCUAGACCCUGGCUCUCUUUGUUUGUUUAAACCGGGGGUGGGGGUGCAUUUCAUAUACCAUUCUCCUCUCUGCCUUUCUGGCCUCUGCUUGCGAGGGAAGCUGACCCCGCCUCCACGCAGGCCUGCGGGGAUGUAAGCUGAGCAUCGGGGCCCGGCCACCUGCCUGAACCCAAGCUACCCAUCACCCACAGCCAUCCAGACACAGGCCAGUGCUGAGUACACCCACACCUUAGGUGGAGCCUGGAACCACGAACCUACAGAUGCUGCAGCCUUUCGAGGCCAAGUUAAUGUUUCUGUGGGAAGAGCUACUCCCUACAUGUGAGCCAGCCCCUUUGCCUCUGGAGUCAGAGCCCAGUCCCCUGCCUUGGUUUCCUCCACUGGGGGCAGUUCAGAAGGUCCCAGAGAAGAAACUGGGGGUGCUUUAUGAGUCGGCAUCGCCAGGAGCUAAGCCAACCUCUGGGCCAGGUCAACACUCCUCGGAAUCUGUCCGCUUUAGACUUCUCUAGGGUAGGGUUUGCAAAGAAUGUUUUUCUAGCAACAAGACCUUUUCUUUAAACCACAUCUUAGGAGACUCAGUACAUAAAACAGAUGGAAGAGGAAAUCCUACUCAAAUUGGGCACGGAGGCCCAGAGCCCUGGUUGCUUGGGUCCUUCUUCCCACAAGCCUCCUGAAAUUUCAGAGGCAGUGAGCGUGGUUUGAAAACCUCCGUCCUUGGGGAGUGCAAUUAGGUGAUUAGGAGGGUGUUGGAGCCCACACAGACUUACCCAGCAGAAACAGCAUUCCUUUCCCCAGGGAAAGGCCGGGAGUCGGCCACGCUGGAUUUGGCUGCAUCGCUGGGGCAGUGGCUGGAAUAAAGAAGCGAGCGAGGGCUCCGGCUCUGGCUGGGGGCUCAGCUCAGUGCGGAGGGGGCGCAGACCCAGGCGUGCCCUCCGGGGAGUCUAAAAGAUUUCACUGCAAAAUCGUUCAGAUGUCCAAAAGAGCCUCAAAAGAAGUCCAUUGCCAGAGAGGCCACCACUAGUCUCCCGAAGGGUGGCCACCUUCCUGGACCACUUGUAGAGCUACCCCCAGCUGACCCCCAGAGAGCUGAUUGUCCGCAUUUCUGGGGCACCCUGCCUGUGCCACCGGCGGGGGGGGGGGGGGGGCCUCAUCAGACGCAGUCACACCCACCACACCUCCUGCCGUCUCUGCUGCCGCCGUGAGCAAGGAGAGGAAAGGGUCAGGAUCCAAGCUGGGAGUAGAGGAGAACGGAGUUUAUGAAUCCAGUUUUGUCACUAACCAGUCUCGAGCAACUCUCCUUACCUCCGCAAACUGCCAUUUGUUCAUCUGAAAACGAGGGGAAUAGAAAUAGCGACCUCACAGGGAGCUCUGAGGAUUUUCGACGCUCUCGGGCGGGGAAGUGCCCCCACAGCGCCCCCCGGCGGGAAGGCAGGAAGGAUGGGCCGCUCUGGGGCCUCCCCUCCAGGGGAUGGCCCCAGGGAGGCAGGCUCACCUUCCUCGGGAGAAGGGCACCCAGCUGAGGCUGCUGAACCGAGUUCCCUCCUCCAAAGUCUAGGAAUAGAGCCACGCACACCCUUCCCCUUUAUAAAAACUGUUUGAAACAUUUUUUAAAGCUUAUUUAUUUAUUUUGGGAAAGAGAGAGAGAGAGAGAGAGAGAGAGAGAGAGAGCACAUGAGUGGGGGGAGGGGCAGAGAGCGAGGAUCCCCAAGCACACACUCAGCGUGGAGCCCACAGCAGGGCUCGAUCUCGGGAACCGUGAGGUCAUGACCUGAGCCGAAAUCCAGAGCCGGACGCUUAACCGACUGAGCCACCCAGGCGCCCCUACGGAAACUAUUUCAAACAUUUAAAACCUAACAUAUCUAGAGAUCAGUAAAGAAUUCCGUGCUCCAAGAAAGCGAUAUUUCAAGAGCUCAUCCCUAAGGGAUCUCACCUGCAACUCACUAGCAAUUAACUAGUUAGUUAAAGACCAACACCCGGCAGAUCCCCGAGCCUCUCCAUCCAGCCCGGGUCAGGACACUCUUUCCAUGUGCUUCCACUUCACUUAGAAAAUUUGGAGGAACCUUUGGUUUCAUAUUCAGGCACACCCUUGCUCCUUAUUUCAUUUCUUUCUCUUAUUCCCUCAUUUGGACGUGCUGAUACAUCUGGCAUAACCCUCAAUCUUAUUUGAAGCUUUUUAUCUUUGUUUUACCUCUUUAAUAAUAAUAAUAAUAAUAAUAAUAAUAAUGGACAUUUAUUGAGCACUUCCUAUAUGCCAGGCACCCAGGCACUGUUCUAAGACCCCACCUGCAUGAGCUUCCUUAAGGCCACGUCAUGACGGCUUCAGUGACCUGGGUGUCAUUACUGUCGCCACUGAAAAUGCUGGGGCGCCAGGGUCACAGGGGUUCAGUAGCUUGCCCAGGAGUCUACAGCUCAUCUGCAGGGAAAGCAACCAUUUAAACCCACCUAGUCUGAUCUCCGUUUCCAAGCAGCCUCCUUGAGCUCCCCUCUUCUAAAACACAGACCAGGAGCACCUCUGCUCUCUGAGCUCAGGGAUCCGGUUGCGGAAAAACCGCAAGAGCAGAAAAGGCAAUAAAACCCCCACCGCAAACAUCGCAGAAAGCGAGCACUCGACCCAGGGGAGCCGUGCUCGGUUUAGGAUCCUGUUUCUCUUUGCAAAUAAUCCCGACAAGCUUCACAAGCUUCGUUAUCUAGUUUCCCAACUCGGAGAAUAUUAGUCCCAGAGAUUAGGUGGUGGGGAGAGGAAUGCCCACAGCAAGCAUAAGUAAGCAACGCAGCAGCUUAGCAAACAAUGAAAAUAACCCUCAGGAAUCUUGGAACCCUGGUGUUCCUUGAGGGUUCUGAAUAGCUAAGAUUUUAUUAUUGAAAAAAAAAAAAAAUCUGUGGGCUAGACAGCUAACAAACACCGCCAUCGGAUGGAAUUUUAAUUUGUAAAAGUGGGAAGGCAGCCUUGUGCCUGGGCCCGUUCCUGUGCUCAUGGCCUCAGAGCAGGUCAGUCUUUGUGUGGAUUACUUAGUGACAGGAAGAGCUGCUAAAAAUCCUGGUUGUCAAUGUGGGGGGCCCUCCUGGCUGAUUUGCAUCUGUCAUUUACUCUACAACAGCUUUACAAAAGCUAGGGAAUCCCGUAAUCUUUUUGUUUGGUUUUGGGUUUUUUUAGAUGAGUAAAUGAAGCCCAGAGAGGUUGAAUAACUUGCCUGGGGUCACACAGCUGAGUCCUGGCUGACCCUGGAGCCCUCAGAUCCCGCUAACGCUGGGCCCGGGGCUUACAUUGGCCCAGGCCCGGCUAUUCGGGGCCAGCGUCAGGACCGUGACUAUGAAUGGAGACGGAAACGUGUGCCUGCCCAUGCCAUCAGGGAGACCAAGAAAACUCCCCUAGAGUUGAAUUAGAUGCCCGGUGUCCAACGGGCCCACCCCGAGUGUAGUAGCUUUGGAUUCAGACGGAUAUAGACUGAUAUCCAGACACUGCCCCUCAUGCUGUGACCUUGGAAGACUUCCCGAACCUCUCUGCGUCCGCCUCCUCACCUGCAAAGGGAGGUAGGAAGGGUACCUGCCUACUAGGACCCCUGUAGAGCUAACACGGGAAAGUGAGUGCAAAGUGCCAAACUCCCUGCUUGUAGAGGGCACUCUGUGUGUUGGUUCCUUUCGUCUUCCCUUCGAGAGGAACCCAGAGAAAGGGGCCCCGCCUGUCCUGUAGGCUCUGCGCUCCUAAAAGGCCAUCGCACACUGAGAUGCUAUUAUGACGCGUGGCAAGAGGCAGAAAAUGAAAAUGUUGCCAGCCAGUCCCCUGCGAGAGUAAACCUGGUGGCCCUGACUUUGUAUUUAUUUUUUAGUGUUUAUUUAUUUACUUUGAGUGAGAGUGCGAGUAGGGGAGGGGCAGAGAGAGAAUCCCAAGCAGGCUUCGUACUGUCUGCACAGAACCCAACUCAGGGCUUGAUCUCAGGAACCAUGAGAUCAUGACCUGGGCCGAAACCCAGGGUACGACACUUAACUGACACAGCCACCCAGGCGCCCCAGCGCUGAAUUUUUAAAGGCUUUGCAGGGGGGCCUCGAGUGAGGGGACCAUGGAGGGGGCCAGUGGAGGGACCGUGACCCAGGACUACUAUGUCUCCUAUCUUCUGUGGGUUUCCCUCCUUGGCAGACAGAGUUCAAGAAAAGACGGGUUCUGCCCCAGAACUGCCUCCUAGACUCCUGGGAAGGUCAGGGUGCCAUGAGAAAGGUCCUAGGUAACAUCCCCCCCCCAACUCGCCCCCACUUCCAGCCAUGCCUUCAGGCAUCCUCGCAGUUCCUCCACCUCCCGCUAGGGGGCAGCAUCUUCGACUAUGCUCACACAGCCCAGAGGCCGACCUGCCAGUCCCAGAGGGGACUGUGCCCUAGAGUCACCAGCCAAGCAGAGCAGGGAGCCUUCUCUGCCCUCAGGAAGCUUUAGUAACAGUGCCAGUUGAGGAUUGGGUUUGGGAACAAGAACCAGAUUAAGCAGGGGCGCCUGGGUGGCUCAGUCGGUUAAGCAUCCAACUUCGGCUCAGGCCAUGAUCUCACGGUUUGUGGGUUCGAGACCCACAUCGGGGUCUGUGCUGACAGCUCAGAGCCUGGAGCCUGCCUCAGACUGUGUCUCCCUCUCUCUCUGCUCCUCCCCCAUUCACGCUCUGCCUCUCUCUCAAAAAUAAAUAAAAAUUAAAAAAAAAAAAGAACUAGAUUAAGCAGAAGUGGAGGGCUCCUCCAGGAAACGGUCACGUAGAGGGCCAAUGACCCUUCUCCUCCCACACAAACCUCAUCAGUGACACACAGGGACAUCUCCGUGGGGGAAAAGGUGGGGGGUGGGGAGAGAAAUACUGCUUUAUUUUGGCUUUUAUGUUGUCAAAGUGUUAACAGAGUUUAAAAUCAAAUAAUAAUGGGGUGCCUGGGUGGCUAAGUCAGUUGAGCAUGGGACUUUGGCUCAGGUCACGAUCUCCCGGUUUGUGAGUUCGAGCCCUGCCUCUGUGCCGACAGCUCAGAGCCUGGAGACUGCUUUGGAUUCUGUGUCUCCCUCUCUCUCUGCCACUCCCCCACAUACACUCUGUCUCUCUCUCUCUCAAAAUUAAAUAAAUGUUAAAAAAGAAAAGAAAAAGAAAAAUCAAAUAAUACUGAAAAACUCAUCAUGCAAAACCAGCAGCUGUCUUCCCCACCCCUCCCUUACUAUACCCUCCCCCCCAAGUCCCACCUCCCCCUCAUCCAGGGUUUCAUCUUUGAUAACUGCUUCUUCUGGGGCACUGUAUUCUUUUUUUUUUUUUUUUGUAAUGUUUAUUUAUUUUUGAGACAGAGAGCAUGAGCAGGGGAGGGGCAGAGAGAGAGGGAGACACAGAACCUGAAGCAGGCUCCAGGCUCUGAGCUGUCAGAGCCCAACGCGGGGCUCGAACUUGUCAACCGCGAGAUCAUGACCUGAGCCGAAGUCGGACGAUCAACCGACUGCACCACCCAGACACCCCGAACUGAAUACUAUUCUUACUCGAUAAUCUUAUAUUAACUCUUGAGUUAUCGCUUGUAGACGUUAUUAGAUGCCUUCUGAUUACAGCAGAUGAGGAUUGUGUCCUCUUACAACCCCCCUUCUCCUCCCUCCAGCCUCCCAGUAUAAAUACAUCACGGGUUUUGUUAACUCAAUAAGCAAAGUUUAACCAUAUGAUUAUGUAAAUAUUCCUUAUUUCCAACACCACGUAUUUUAACUAUAUUUGCGUUUCCUGCAGUCUUUAUUUUUCCUGCAAUUAGAAAUGUUCUCGUUUUCCCGCUUUAAAGAGGGUUCCUAAAUUAGAAGUUAAACUUUUCUGUAUGUUUUCCUCUGUUUCUGCCAUGGCUCCCUGUUGGGAACGAUUCUCCUGCACGUGAUAAAUAUUUCCCGAGCAUUUGCUUUUCUACUUUGGUCUGCUAGGUGUUAAGAGAUACGGAAAGAAACAUGGUCCUUGACCAUUCUGCAGCCCAAAAUUUAGUUGAGAGACAAGAGAGGUACACAGGGAAAAAAAAAAACAAAACAGUGCAAGCAUGUUGCCCUGCAUGCUGUGUGGUGGGUGAAAUUAACGGUCCCCGCAGGGAAUGUUCUGGAGUCCGUGGCUAGAGUCCCAAGGAAAGUUUUCUUUCACAAGGAAGGCCCGAACCGGGCUUUGAAGUCAGGUUGUAAAGCAGAGUCGAGAAGUACCAAGUAAGGAAAUCCAUGAAGGGUUGGUCUGUGGACCCUAAACACAGGAAGCAUCUUAACAGGGCCGAGUCUCCACUUCCUCAUCACGAAGGGGCAGGAAGAAGUUCAUUACUGGUACUCGGCUGUGGAAGAGAAAAUCCCUAUUCUUAGGAAAUAUACGCUGAGGUAUUUAGGGGAAAAGGCUAAAAUAUAUGCAACUUGCCCUCAAAUGGUUCAGGAAGAAAAAAACACGUAGACGGUGUGUUGGUAUUCCUUAUGUUUUUGGGUUUUUUUUUCCUGUUUAUUUAUUUUUGAGAAAGAGAGACAGAGUGCGAGCAGGGGAAGGGCAGAGAGAGAGGGAGACACAGAAUCUGAAGCAGGCUCCAGGCUCUGAGCCCAUCAUGGGACUCAAACUCACGAACUAUGAGACCAUGACCUGAGCCGAAGUCGGACGCUUAACCCACUGAGCCACACGGGUGCCCCAGGUAUUCCUUGUACCGUUUCAUUUCGGAGCUUUGCAACUUUGGAAUUAUUUAGAGUUAUUUAAAGUUUUAAAAAUUUUUAAAAAUUUUUUAAAGAUUUAAGGCAAGCUAUAAAGAUACCCUCAAGAACUCUAACCUAAGGAAAUUAUCAUAUUUAUGUAAGGUUAAUGAUGUAAGCAGAAAAUUUUUCUUUGCUCCAUUUGUACUUGAAAGAAAAGGAAUUAACUGAAAUAUUUAAUAAAGGGAAAUUGGCCAAAUUGUGUGAUGCAUUAUGCUUCUAUUAAGAUUAAUUUUUCCAACAAAUUGAGGUUAAAUAAGAUAAUGAUCCGGGUAUGAUGUAAAUGGGGAGAAAAGCAGAAUAUAAAGCUAUACAUACUGUGUAAAUCCAAUUAUGUAUCUUUAUAGACCCAAAUUGAGGGAAAUAUACCAAAGUAAUAACAGUAGUAGGAUCAAGGGUGAUUUCACCUUUAAAUUUCUCUAUAUUUUGAAGUUUUCCAGAAUGAGCAUGUAUUAAUUUUCUAAUUAAAACAAAUGAACAUAGGGGGGCCUGGGUGGCUCAGCUGGUUAAGCGUCGGACUCUUGAUUUUGACUCGGGUCAUGAUCUCACAGGUGAGGCUGAGCCCCACGUGGGAGCCUGCUUGGGCUUCUCUGUCUCCUCUCUCUCUACCCCUCCUCCGCUGGCAUGCAUGUGCUCUCUCUCUCUCUCUAAAUGAAUAAAUGAACUUUUAAAAAAAGAAAAAUGAACACAAUUUUCUAAAAAGCUACAGAAAAAAAAAGAGAUCGGGGACAAGCCCAGAGUUAUUUUAACAAUUUUUUAAGGCUUAAGAUAAAAUUAUACGUGUGUGUUUAUUCUUUGAAAUGAUAUCAUAAUUAAAGACAGAGUGUUUUAAUAUUUUUUAAGCAUGCAGAAGAAUAUCUACCUUAUUGGGUGACUGGCCAGAUUAACUGAAACAAUCUUUGUAAACUACUCAGAACAGUGCCUGCCCGAGGUAGUAUGUUAUGCAUGUAUAUAGAAUAUAUGUAUGUGGGUAUAUAUGAGAUAUAUAUGUAUCUAUUUUUUAUAUAUAUAGUCUCAAACAGUCAGCUAUUUUAACAAUCGUCACCUCCCUCCUUGCGUGCCAGCCUCUGGUUGAGAAUGGGUUGCGAUGGGUACGGCCCUGUCCUCUGGGCCCUGGUGGGGGAGGGGCUGACCUGUGCCACCUUCCCGCAGGUGGCCGCCGAAUACUUCAAGAACACCACGCUGCUGCUGGUGGGUGUCAUCUGCGUGGCAGCUGCCGUGGAGAAGUGGAACCUGCACAAACGCAUUGCUCUGCGCAUGGU